Molecule: ribosomal RNA, 504 nt
Filed under: uncultured bacterium
Lineage: Bacteria
Description: partial 16S ribosomal RNA
Rfam family: Bacterial small subunit ribosomal RNA
Source: RNAcentral
ACUCAAAUGAAUUGACGGGGGCUCACACAAGCGGUGGAGCAUGUGGCUCAAUUCGAAGCAACGCGAAGAACCUUAUCCUAGGUUUGACAUGCACGGAUUAACUCCUAGAAACAGGAGUGACACUCUCGUAGUGGAACGUGCACAGGUGCUGCAUGGCUGUCGUCAGCUCGUGCUGUGAAGUGUCGGGUUAAGUCCCUUAACGAGCGAAACCCCUAUCGCUAGUUGCCACCAUUUAGUUGGGCACUCUAGCGAGACUGCCGGUGUUAAACCGGAGGAAGGUGGGGAUGACGUCAAGUCCUCAUGGCCUUUAUGCCUAGGGCUGCACACGUGCUACAAUGGCGCGAACAGAACGAUGCAAGACCGUAAGGUGGAGCAAAUCGCCUAAAUCGCGCCCCAGUUCGGAUAGAGGGCUGCAACCCGCCCUCUUGAAGUCGGAAUCGCUAGUAAUCGCGGAUCAGCUACGCCGCGGUGAAUAUGUUCCUGAGCCUUGUACACACCGCCCGU